RNAcentral lists this ribosomal RNA (541 nucleotides) under Mycobacterium sp. 324-137. RNAcentral's name for it is "bacterial SSU rRNA". It matches the Rfam family "Bacterial small subunit ribosomal RNA", at positions 44 to 600 of the family's 1533-position model. RNAcentral also lists the same sequence under 5 other names. Lineage: Bacteria; Bacillati; Actinomycetota; Actinomycetes; Mycobacteriales; Mycobacteriaceae. The record is from RNAcentral.
GUGCUUAACACAUGCAAGUCGAACGGAAAGGCCUCUUCGGAGGUACUCGAGUGGCGAACGGGUGAGUAACACGUGGGUAAUCUGCCCUGCACUUCGGGAUAAGCCUGGGAAACUGGGUCUAAUACCGAAUAUGACCACGAGGCGCAUGCCAUGUGGUGGAAAGCUUUUGCGGUGUGGGAUGGGCCCGCGGCCUAUCAGCUUGUUGGUGGGGUGACGGCCUACCAAGGCGACGACGGGUAGCCGGCCUGAGAGGGUGUCCGGCCACACUGGGACUGAGAUACGGCCCAGACUCCUACGGGAGGCAGCAGUGGGGAAUAUUGCACAAUGGGCGCAAGCCUGAUGCAGCGACGCCGCGUGGGGGAUGACGGCCUUCGGGUUGUAAACCUCUUUCAGCAGGGACGAAGCGCAAGUGACGGUACCUGCAGAAGAAGCACCGGCCAACUACGUGCCAGCAGCCGCGGUAAUACGUAGGGUGCGAGCGUUGUCCGGAAUUACUGGGCGUAAAGAGCUCGUAGGUGGUUUGUCGCGUUGUUCGUGAAAA